UCCAGACUUUGAUCAUGGCUCAGAACGAACGUUGGCGGCGUGGAUUAGGCAUGCAAGUUGAGCGUACUCCGCAAGGAGAAGCAGCGUAAGGGGCAGUAAGGCAUGGGUACCUACCUCGGGUUCGGGUAUAGCCUGUAGAGAUACAGGGUAAUCCCCGAUGAUGUCGUAAGACCAAAGCUCCGGCGACCGGAGAGGGGCCCAUGUGAUAUUAGCUAGUUGGUGGGGUAACGGCCCACCAAGGCGAAGAUGUCUAGCGGGUGUGAGAGCACGACCCGCGCCACUGGCACUGAGACACUGGCCAGACACCUACGGGUGGCUGCAGUCGAGGAUCUUCGGCAAUGGGCGCAAGCCUGACCGAGCGACGCCGCGUGUGCGACGAAGGCCUUCGGGUUGAAAGCACUGUCGAGGGGGAGAAAACCGCAAGGUUGAUCUAUCCCUGGAGGAAGCCGGGCUAAGUUUCGUGCCCAGCAAGCCGCGGUAGACGAACCGUGCGAACGUUGUUCGGAAUCACUGGGCUUAAAGGGCGCGUAGGCGGGCUGUCAAGUCCGGGGUGAAAUCCUCCCGCUCAACGGGAGAACGGCCUCGGAUACUGACGAUCUCGAGGGGGAUAGGGGCACGCGGAACUGUGGGUGGAGCGGUGAAAUGCGUUGAUAUCCAUAGGAACUCCGGUGGCGAAGGCGGCGUGCUGGAUCCCUUCUGACGCUGAGGCGCGAAAGCCAGGGGAGCAAACGGGAUUAGAUACCCCGGUAGUCCUGGCCCUAAACGUUGAGAACUAGGUUGUAGACUAGACAUGGGUUUACAGCCGAAGCAAAAGUGCUAAGUUCUCCGCCUGGGAGUAUGUUGGUUGGCAAGGUUGAAACCUCAAAGGAUUUGGCGGGGGUUCACACAAGCCCGGGGAGCAAGAGGCUUAAUUCGAGGCAACGCGAAGAACCUUAUUCUGGACUUGACAUGUGCGAAAGCGCCUGCAGGUAGAACCCGGAAACGGGAACGAACGGUAUCCAAUCCGGAAGCAGGCACAGGUGCUGCAUGGCUGUCGUCAGCUCGUGUCGUGAGAUGUCGGGUUAAGUCCCAUAACGAGCGAAACCCUUACCCUCAGUUGCUAAUUAUAGGACUCUGGGGGGACUGCCGGUGUUAAACCGGAGGAAGGUGGGGAUGACGUCAAGUCCUCAUGGCCUUUAUGUCCAGGGCUGCACACGUGCUACAAUGGCGUGAACAAAGGGAUGCCAACGCGCGAGCGGGAGCAAACCCCAAAAAACACGCCCCAGUUCAGAUCGGAGGCUGCAACUCGCCUCCGUGAAGCCGGAAUCGCUAGUAAUCGCGGGUCAGCAACACCGCGGUGAAUGUGUUCCUGAGCCUUGUACACACCGCCCGUCAAGCCACGAAAGAGAGGAGCGCCCGAAGUACCUCACGGUCCGAAGGCGAAAGUCUUGAUUGGGACUAAGUCGUAACAAGCUAGCCGUA
Molecule: ribosomal RNA, 1461 nt
Filed under: uncultured Pietermaritzburg bacterium Y14-6
Lineage: Bacteria; Pseudomonadati; Planctomycetota; Planctomycetia; Planctomycetales; Planctomycetaceae
Description: 16S ribosomal RNA
Rfam family: Bacterial small subunit ribosomal RNA
Source: RNAcentral